This 4681-nucleotide long non-coding RNA is filed under the name Xyrichtys novacula (pearly razorfish). Lineage: Eukaryota; Metazoa; Chordata; Actinopteri; Labriformes; Labridae. The record is from RNAcentral.
GGGCAUGAGUGAAGAAAGAUGAAACUCAUAACAAGAAAUUAAAAAGAACUUUAUUUUUCAAAGCAACUUUUUAUAUUAAAAACUCCAUCAAACCAAAACUUGUAACAAAGACACUGUGAAAGGGGUGACCAGCACUAAUAGGCCUUCAGAGCAGCUUAACAUUGACCAAAUGAAACAUUGAUAGAAAUAAUUCAGUCUCUUGUUCAGUGUCACUGUUCAGCUUUGUGUUACCCACUGUGUUUUUACCAUAGACUGUAUAUACUAUGGACAACUUGGUUCCACCUCCCGUCAAUAUACGGAUUUGAAGCCGAAUUGCUCUCAGGAUUUUCGCCACUUCCUGGAACCACCACUUGCACCGUAGUGUUGCACACACUCCACCACUUGUGCAGUAGCGUUGUAUGCAUGCGACAGAAGAGUCGCAGAGAGUUGCUGUUAUGACGCUUGGCUCAAACAGCUUAUCCCCGGAGUGAGCUAUGCAAUCUUCGUACACUCAUAGGCUGUAUCAAGUGUCAAUCAAAGAAAACAUGAACCCCCUAAUAAUUUUUAAAAAUGUAGUUAUAAAUUUCUAAAGUUUGUCCACAACUUCAUAGGGAUUGAUGGAGGAGGCAGGAUUUAUGACCUAUACUGCAGCCCGUCACCAGAGGGUGCUGUUCUCAUGGUGGCUUCACCAAACGAGGAGUCAGACAGCGCCCAUUCUAUAUACAGUCUAUGGUGUUUAUGUACCAUCUUAUUCAGCAAAAUCUCUUGCCAGGUUGCCAAAAGAUCUCUCCAAAUAUUUUCAGCAAUUGGAGAGGCAAUUUUUAAAAGAACUGAAAAUAAUACAGUAACAGACUUUGACAUCUGCCCACUUAAAAGUCAUUUAGAUGCUACAAUUAGCCCACAAGGACUGUUUAUACUACUAGUAACCCUCCCAAGUGAUUCAUCCACUGGGUCCAAGAUGUUUGGUUUGUAAGAACUCUGAUUGAUAGUAGGUGGGUUGCAGUGAUAUACCACAUAGAAUAGAUGAGCAUCGUUGCACAUUUUUGCACAACAUACAGCACUGAAACGAAUGUUAAUAACUUAAACAUGUUUUCUACAUGGCAGCAUGGUGGUGCAGCAGGUAGUGAACGUGCCUCACAGCAAGAAGGUUGAUAGUUUAAUCCCCGGGUUGAGCGAGGGCCUUUCUGUGUGAAGUUUGCAUGUUCUUCCUGUGCAUGUGUGGGCUCUCUCUGGGCACUCUGGCUUCCUCCCACAGACCAAAAGCAUGCUCAAUAGGUUAAUUGGUGACUCUAAAUUGUCCUUAGGUAUGAGUAUGAGCAUGAAUGAUUGUCUGUCUCUCUAUGUGGCCUUGCAAUUGCCUGGUGACCGAUUCAGGGUGUAUUCCACCUCUUGCCCGAUGACAGCUGGGAUAGGCUCCAGCCCACCUGUGACCCCAAAAGGGAUAAGCGUUAUCGAAAAUGGAUGGAUGGAUGUUUUCUACACAUCCAGAAUUGCCCUCAUAAACAAUUCCGGUUCAUUACAUGAGUAGUUUAAAGUGAAACAGCCAUCCACCUGUGAUGAACAAUGAGGACUCAACUGCGACUCGGACUUAGACUGGGAGAAUUCUUUGGUGAACCAAGCCUGAUUUAGACUUUUAGACUCAAAUCAAACAUGUGAUUGUGCUACAACACAGUACUGACAACAUGACAGCUCCCCAAAAGUGAAGCAGGAUAUUUAUGAUAAGCACAAAACGUAAGGGAAUUUGUGUUUGGUAAAUGAUGUCUUUGUAGUAACAAUGCUUCUUGGCUAUUAAUCUUAUACUCUUUGAAAGCUUGUUUAUUCCCUUUUUAAAAUUGUGCAUCAUUUGUAGAACAUGCAUUUGUUGGAAAUGCAGCAGAGCUCAGUAUGUAGGUUCCACACAUUUAAAAAAAUGUCAAAUCCUCUCUGCCAGUGCUAAACAGCUUGUUCUGCCAUUGACUCUUGUUGGGGUGUUGUUUGGUGAAUUGGGUGAUUGAAGUCUUACAAAUAAAGCAUAGUGACAGUUUAACAGUCUAUUCAUUUAACAAACAAGAUCCUCAUACAGUAGGAUGUAGAGAAACCAUACACAGUCACAACAGCCUGGCACCUCCUCCACAAGCUGGUCACCAGCCUUGUUACACAUUGCUGUGGGAUAGCAUCCCAUUCUUGACCAGCAUUUGUCAAAAGUCAGCCGGUGUGGUUGUGUUGGUCACUCUGGAACAAGCAGCACACCCAAGCUGAUCCCACAAGUGUUCAGGGGGUUGAGGUCAGGACUGCUGGCUGGCCAUUCCUGUCUCCCCACUCCCAAAUUCUGGAGGUAGUCUCAGAUAAACCACAGUCUGUGGGGGGCAGGCUAUGGCUGUUGCAGCUGUGUUUGGUUGCUUUACAUGCUACUGAGGCUCUUAUAAUAACUUUAUUUUAUUUAUAUAGCACUUUUAAAAUUAAGAGUUUAUAAAGUGCUUUAACAUGCAGGAAAACAAAGAUAAAAACCAAACAAAAUCCAACCAUAAAAUCCAACAACAAGAGAACAUUUUGGGGUGUCCUCAUGUCCUAAUGUGACAUUAUUAGCAAUAGAUAAAAUAAAAUAAAAUAAAAUAAAAUAGAUAUCGCUGGAAGACAUAUAAGCUUUGAUAAGUGUUACAUGAGCUGAGAUGUCAUUAAAACAAAGACACCAUAAGAACAUGUGAUACUGGGCCAACACAGGAACCCAACCACAAAUGUAUAAGGUGUGAACAAAGUUGCAUAUAAAUCCAUUAUUCCUACCUAUUAAAAUCCUUAAAUGUAAAUUAUGUACAUUGGAUUAUACAAUAGAUUAUAGAACAUGACUGGUAUUUAUGUCAGAAGCAAUGUUAAAGCGCAUUAUUCUAUAUGUCAUAUCAAGAUUUACAUCUGACCAGUAACAAUAUUUGAUUUGUUAUUCUGUCAUUGGUGUUUAGAUCAUGCUGAUAUCGGUCUUGUAAGGCCUGGUGCUAAUAAGAUGCCAACUAUAUAGAGAUACAAUUGAUAGACUGAUUAACCAGUCUAUCUCUAAUAAGAAGAGUAUAACACUAUCAGCGCUGCAUUCAUCAUAUCAACAGAGAAGAUGACGAACAGUUCAAGAGAAAUAAUCAACACUACCACCAGAGUCACUGGUAUUUUAUGACCAAGACUGUUGCCUUUAAACCAACACUAGAAGCUGAACUUUGCUGACCAAACAAUUCUGUUGCAUUUAAAGAACACAGAAACCAUGUUUGGGGGAUUAUACCAACAUCUAUGUUUGUAUAUAUAUUCUAUGCUCUUAAACUUUGCUGAGGUUAAGUAUGGGCAUCCACCAUAUUAACAUUAUACUUUUGUCCUGAAAAAGAGAUAAGCAUAAAAGUUCUCCUUUAAGGGAAAGCUAGUUAAGAGUCUGUCUAAUAUAUGCAAGCGCUGCAGGUUAAUGGCAGGUGAAACCAGAUAUAAUUUUUUACCCCUAUGGCAUAUUCAGAGGCAAUAACAGUACAGCACGAGCAGCUGUUUUGAAGCUGAAUAAAGCAAAGCACUCCACUCUGUUAAGCACCAUUGCACCUUCCUAUCUCAUUAACAUAAAGCUUUCACUUCAGUGCAUUCACAAGCUGUUACAGAUUUCACACUGAAGUUGUGUAAUCAACCUCAGCCUGUAAUUCAUCAUCAGAUGCCAGUUGUUUGAUCUCUGAACUAACGCCAUACACAGAAUUUUUCCAACGCACGUCAUCUGCAUUUAGAUAACAAAUUUAAGAAUACAAGUUGUUCUAGGAAAAAAAAAAGUGGAGAUAGCUGCAGCCCACCUCGACUUCGACUACAAAGCUUUUUCUUUCACUGACAUCGCACAUCGUAAUUUGAAUAUUAUGACAACUGAGUGACAAUAAGGCGUUUGAUGAUUCAUUUCAAUAGCAGGGAGGCGUAUCACUAAUGAUGGGGUAUACGGUUGUAAACUUGAAACGUCUUAUGACAGGGAAAAAGAAAAUAACUUUCAAAGGCAUCUCAGCUUUUCAAAAAAACUGCAAAUUUUGCUCCUCUGACAAACAUUCUUGGGAGAAGAAAGAGUGUAAGGUGCCCCCUUCCUCCUCUUGCCUCCCUCAUUUCUUCACACAUCACCCACCCUCCUCACAGUGUGUUUCUCAGCUGUUGGUUUACUGAUUAGCCUGAUCCAUAAAUAAGUAAUCAGAUCGAGAGCAGCGACAAUCCACCGGCCCUUAUUAUCAGGCCAUUCUAUCGCUCUCACGCAGCACAAAUGCAUAUAAACAUGCACAUCCACUACCCAAUUUUAGACCCAUUUAACCCCCUCUUUAUGUGUUGUGUUUUAAAACAGUGUCGUAACUCUGUGUGUGUGUGUGUGUGUGUGUGUGUGUGUGUGUGUGUGUGUGUGUGUGUGUGUGUGUGUGUGUGUGUGUGUGUGUAUUCAUGUGUGUGUGUAAAUGUGAGAGGAGGGCAAGAAGAGAGGGACAGUAUGAUGGAGAAAAAAGAGAAACAUACAGUCGCUGUGAAUGUGACUAAACUGACUGCAGCAGAAUGACUCACCCUGUUGCUAUGGCAACCUAAAGGCAAGCUCUUCUCUAAUGUGCGAUUUCAACUGCUGGUGGCUGCCAGCUAACGGGGAGAAGAUGUAAGUUUCCGGAAAAACCAUUUAAGGAAAAAGGGCUUGCAGAGGGCGGUGUUUGGGCGCGUGGAGUGAACAUAAAAGCCUCUAUAGCAUAAAAAAGCAAAA